UACGUAGGUGGCAAGCGUUGUCCGGAUUUACUGGGCGUAAAGGGCGCGCAGGCGGUCGUUUAAGUCGAAUGUGAAAGCCCCCGGCUCAACUGGGGAGGGGCAUUCGAUACUGUUCGACUCGAAGGCAGGAGAGGGAAGUGGAAUUCCGGGUGUAGUGGUGAAAUGCGUAGAUAUCCGGAGGAACACCAGUGGCGAAGGCGGCUUUCUGGCCUGUUCUUGACGCUGAGGCGCGAAAGCUAGGGGAGCAAACGGG
RNAcentral lists this ribosomal RNA (253 nucleotides) under uncultured bacterium. Its description in RNAcentral is "partial 16S ribosomal RNA". It matches the Rfam family "Bacterial small subunit ribosomal RNA", at positions 524 to 776 of the family's 1533-position model. The record is from RNAcentral.